GGGAAACAGGAGAGGGGCCCCAGGCCCCAAAACAAUAUUAUGGGGUG
Molecule: non-coding RNA, 47 nt
Organism: Rattus norvegicus (Norway rat)
Lineage: Eukaryota; Metazoa; Chordata; Mammalia; Rodentia; Muridae
Source: Rfam